GAUAAUUUUUUUAUUAGUUAACUGAAUAUUAUAUGAAAGCACUUGUUCAUGAGACGUCAAGAGAGUAGAUUCUUUCCUUAUCUUUUAACCAUGAUCCCAACCUAAUUGAUAUGGUGACUCCAUAGUUUCUAAUUAGUAAUUGCAUAUUAUAUGAAAACGCUAGUUCAUAUAGACUUUAAAGAGAGUGCAUUAUGAUUGACCUUUCCAUUACCUCAAAAGUUUCUAUUUCAAGGUAUUGUGUCUAAUAUCCAGAUUUCCUCAGGGGAUGUGGCUUCAUUUCCCUUGAAAAUCUAUUGUUUUUCACAAGGAAAUAUCCGGUAUGCAUUUUUGUCUUCUAUUCUGCACAUCUGAAAGAACUUGAUGAGCCUUAAAAGUUGUAAUUGGCAGGUGGUAUGAUACAUGCAGGAGCCAUGCUCAUGUGGGAUCUGCAUAUAUAUGUGAUGGUUGGUACUUGGUGAUAUAGAUACUGCAUUGGACUAUGAAGAAGGGAAGGGAUAUUCUUCAAAUAAACCAUCCCGUCGGCCCUUUUGGCACAAAGCCAUAUAAUUGCAAAAAAAACCCAAGGCUUUACCUCCUCCUUAUCACAAACCAUAUUAUAGUGGAGAAUUGAAGCAAAAGGUGUGAUGGUGCAUGCUUACCACUGUUAUUGUCUUCAACCUCCACACAAGAGUGUUUGUAAUGGGCCUUAUUUGUGCACAAAACACGUAAGAUGUCACAGAUGUGGAUCCAAUGUCCCUGGAAAUGGACUAAGUGUGAGGUAUGAAUUCUGAAUAAUUUAGCUUUGGUUUGAUGUCUGGUGUUGGUGUGCCUAGUGUUGAUGCCCAUAGGAAUGUUGCAAGAGGAAUGCUUAGUUAGUUUUAUGGUCAAAACAUAUACCCCUGGUAGAAACCAAGCAAAAAUGUUUCGCUGGAUUUGUAUCAAUUAUUACCUUUAUUUUAUAUGUUAUAGUUGUAUAUCAUCAACAUUUGCCAUGAAAUUGCA
This is a long non-coding RNA of Glycine soja, 981 nucleotides long. RefSeq lists it as uncharacterized. The transcript is spliced from 4 exons. NCBI's taxonomy places the organism in Eukaryota, Viridiplantae, Streptophyta, Magnoliopsida, Fabales, Fabaceae. The record is from RefSeq and is a predicted model, not a curated record.